This 654-nucleotide ribosomal RNA is filed under the name uncultured archaeon. RNAcentral describes it as "bacterial SSU rRNA". It matches the Rfam family "Archaeal small subunit ribosomal RNA", at positions 102 to 756 of the family's 1478-position model. The record is from RNAcentral.
GGAUAACUUACCCUUAGGACUGGGAUAACUCUGGGAAACUGGGGAUAAUACUGGAUAUUAGGCUAUGCCUGGAAUGGUUUGCCUUUGAAAUGUUUUUUCGCCUAAGGAUAGGUCUGCGGCUGAUUAGGUCGUUGGUGGGGUAAUGGCCCACCAAGCCGAUGAUCGGUACGGGUUGUGAGAGCAAGGGCCCGGAGAUGGAACCUGAGACAAGGUUCCAGACCCUACGGGGUGCAGCAGGCGCGAAACCUCCGCAAUGUACGAAAGUGCGACGGGGGGAUCCCAAGUGUUAUGCUUUUUUGUAUGACUUUUCAUUAGUGUAAAAAGCUUUUAGAAUAAGAGCUGGGCAAGACCGGUGCCAGCCGCCGCGGUAACACCGGCAGCUCGAGUGGUAGCUGUUUUUAUUGGGCCUAAAGCGUUCGUAGCCGGUUUGAUAAGUCUUUGGUGAAAGCUUGUAGCUUAACUAUAAGAAUUGCUGGAGAUACUAUUAGACUUGAAGUCGGGAGAGGUUAGAGGUACUACCGGGGUAGGGGUGAAAUCCUAUAAUCCUGGGAGGACCACCUGUGGCGAAGGCGUCUAACUGGAACGAUCUUGACGGUGAGUAACGAAAGCCAGGGGCGCGAACCGGAUUAGAUACCCGGGUAGUCCUGGCCGUAA